UUUAAGGUCUAACCUGCCCAAUGAGGAUUUAAAUGGCCGCAGUAUUUUGACUGUGCAAAGGUAGCAUAAUUAUUAGUUUUUUAAUUGAAAGCUUGUAUGAAGGGUUGGACGAGAUAAAAUCUGUCUUUAUUUAAAUUAAAAUAUAAUUUAACUUUUAAGUAAGAAGGCUUAAAUAUUUAUAAAAGACGAGAAGACCCUAUAGAUCUUUAUUUGAUUAAAAUUUUAAUAAUUUAGGAUUAUUUUAAUUUAAAGUUUUAAUUAAAUUUUAUUGGGGUAAUAUAAAGAUUAAAUAAAUUCUUUUUAUUUAUAACAUUGAUUUAUGAAUAUAUGAUCCAUUAAUAUUGAUUAUAAGAUUAAGUUACCUUAGGGAUAACAGCGUAAUUUUUUUGGAGAGCUCAUAUCGAUAAAAAAGUUUGCGACCUCGAUGUUGGAUUAAAAAUUAGCUUGGGUGCAGAAGCUCAAGACUUUGGUCUGUUCGACCAUUAAAUUUUUACAUGAUCUGAGUUCAGACCGGCGUGAGCCAGGUCGGUUUCUAUCUUUAUUAAGAUAAAAUGUUUUAGUACGAAAGGACCAGGCAUUUAAUAUAAUUAUAUUUAUUUUUU
This 602-nucleotide ribosomal RNA is filed under the name Cicindela (Rivacindela) sp. JP-49. RNAcentral's name for it is "partial 16S ribosomal RNA". It matches the Rfam family "Bacterial large subunit ribosomal RNA", at positions 1844 to 2726 of the family's 2925-position model. The record is from RNAcentral. Lineage: Eukaryota; Metazoa; Arthropoda; Insecta; Coleoptera; Carabidae.